CCGAUGGUAGCUCAGUUGGUAGAGCGCGAAGCUUAUACCUUCGUCGUCCCAGGUUCAAGUCCUGGCCAUCGGACAA
This 76-nucleotide transfer RNA is filed under the name Bacteroidia bacterium. RNAcentral describes it as "tRNA-Ile". It matches the Rfam family "tRNA". Rfam says of the family: Transfer RNA (tRNA) molecules are approximately 80 nucleotides in length. Their secondary structure includes four short double-helical elements and three loops (D, anti-codon, and T loops). Further hydrogen bonds mediate the characteristic L-shaped molecular structure. tRNAs have two regions of fundamental functional importance: the anti-codon, which is responsible for specific mRNA codon recognition, and the 3' end, to which the tRNAs corresponding amino acid is attached (by aminoacyl-tRNA synthetases). tRNAs cope with the degeneracy of the genetic code in two manners: having more than one tRNA (with a specific anti-codon) for a particular amino acid; and 'wobble' base-pairing, i.e. permitting non-standard base-pairing at the 3rd anti-codon position. RNAcentral also lists the same sequence under 1 other name. The record is from RNAcentral. Lineage: Bacteria; Pseudomonadati; Bacteroidota; Bacteroidia.